RNAcentral lists this ribosomal RNA (305 nucleotides) under uncultured bacterium. RNAcentral's name for it is "bacterial SSU rRNA". It matches the Rfam family "Bacterial small subunit ribosomal RNA", at positions 338 to 640 of the family's 1533-position model. The record is from RNAcentral.
CCUACGGGAGGCAGCAGUGAGGAAUAUUGGUCAAUGGGCGAGAGCCUGAACCAGCCAAGUCGCGUGAGGGAAGACGGUCCUAUGGAUUGUAAACCUCUUUUGCCGGGGAGCAAAAAGCGGUACGUGUACCGCAUCGAGAGUACCCGGAGAAUAAGCACCGGCUAACUACGUGCCAGCAGCCGCGGUAAUACGUAGGGUGCGAGCGUUAAUCGGAAUUACUGGGCGUAAAGGGUGCGCAGGCGGUUGAGUAAGACAGAUGUGAAAUCCCCGAGCUUAACUCGGGAACGGCAUAUGUGACUGCUCGA